AAUUGGAGGGCAAGUCUGGUGCCAGCAGCCGCGGUAAUUCCAGCUCCAAUAGCGUAUAUUAAAGUUGUUGCAGUUAAAAAGCUCGUAGUUGAAUUUCGGGAUCAAUAUUUCGGUCAUGCCGUUGGUAUGCACUGUUAUCAUUGAUUUCUCACCUUCUAAAGAACCGUAAUGCCAUUAAUUUGGUGUUACGGGGAAUUAGGACUGUUACCUUGAAAAAAUUAGAGUGUUUAAAGCAGGCCCACGCUUGAAUACAUUAGCAUGGAAUAAUGAAAUAGGACAUCCGAUUCUAUUUUGUUGGUUUCUAGGAUCGAUGUAAUGAUUAAUAGGGAUAGUUGGGGGCAUUAGUAUUCAAUUGUCAGAGGUGAAAUUCUUGGAUUUAUUGAAGACUAACUACUGCGAAAGCAUUUGCCAAGGAUGUUUUCAUUAAUCAAGAACGAAAGUUAGGGGAUCGAAGACGAUCAGAUACCGUCGUAGUCUUAACCAUAAACUAUGCCGACUAGGGAUCGGAUGAUGUUAAUUUUUUAAUGACUCAUUCGGCGCCUUACGGGAAACCAAAGUGU
This 560-nucleotide ribosomal RNA is filed under the name uncultured Glomus. Its description in RNAcentral is "SSU rRNA". It matches the Rfam family "Eukaryotic small subunit ribosomal RNA", at positions 546 to 1106 of the family's 1831-position model. The record is from RNAcentral. Lineage: Eukaryota; Fungi; Glomeromycota; Glomeromycetes; Glomerales; Glomeraceae.